GAUGGGCUGGCUCAAUGGUAGAGUGCUUGCUUUGCAUGCAUGAGGCCUUGGGUUCGAUUCCUCAGCACCACA
Molecule: transfer RNA, 72 nt
Filed under: Dipodomys ordii (Ord's kangaroo rat)
Lineage: Eukaryota; Metazoa; Chordata; Mammalia; Rodentia; Heteromyidae
Rfam family: tRNA
About the family: Transfer RNA (tRNA) molecules are approximately 80 nucleotides in length. Their secondary structure includes four short double-helical elements and three loops (D, anti-codon, and T loops). Further hydrogen bonds mediate the characteristic L-shaped molecular structure. tRNAs have two regions of fundamental functional importance: the anti-codon, which is responsible for specific mRNA codon recognition, and the 3' end, to which the tRNAs corresponding amino acid is attached (by aminoacyl-tRNA synthetases). tRNAs cope with the degeneracy of the genetic code in two manners: having more than one tRNA (with a specific anti-codon) for a particular amino acid; and 'wobble' base-pairing, i.e. permitting non-standard base-pairing at the 3rd anti-codon position.
Source: Rfam by way of RNAcentral